This 373-nucleotide long non-coding RNA is filed under the name Homo sapiens (human). Its description in RNAcentral is "HSALNT0061299". The record is from RNAcentral. Lineage: Eukaryota; Metazoa; Chordata; Mammalia; Primates; Hominidae.
GGCAGAGAUGAGCACAAUCAGCUCUCAUAAGUUGGUGUGAGCCAGCUGAGGAAGGACGUGGGCUGGAUGGGAGAAACCUUAUUCCUAUAGCAAAGGGGCUGGAGCAGGCAGUGGGUUUCCUCUCUCUGCAAGUUCACCUGGGCAGAGCCUGCUUCCUCAGCUUUGGGCCACUUCAGUCUUUUCUCCACCCCAGAUGUUUAAGUGGCUCCUACAGCUGGAAGAUCUUUCCCCACUGGCAGCAAGAGGGGAGGAUGGCAUCUGGCAGAUCCUGAUUUACAUUAUUCCAGCUCCCUGACCUAAAAGAUAAAACCUACCCCUCCUCAUUUAAUAAAAUCAGAAGGAAAAUGCAACCAGAGAAUAAAAAAAAGAAAAU